Solea senegalensis (Senegalese sole) is the source of this 1265-nucleotide long non-coding RNA. RefSeq lists it as uncharacterized. NCBI's taxonomy places the organism in Eukaryota, Metazoa, Chordata, Actinopteri, Pleuronectiformes, Soleidae. The record is from RefSeq and is a predicted model, not a curated record. The transcript has 2 exons.
AUAUUCUAUGGUUACACACCAAUACAUUUUAAUUUAGGGAAUUAAAAUGUUGCAAUUACAAUUUUCAAAAAUGUCAUCUUGUUGCCAGAUCUGUGUUGUGUUCCCACAUUGUUGUGCCACAUUCGAUUUGUGACCUGUAAAAGAAACUGCACGUUGUUAUUUAUACAUUGAUUUUCAGCCGUUAAAAAAAAUUGUGAUACAAAUUUUAUGAAUCAGAAAUAGUGUUGAUAAAGUUUUCAAAGGAGAGGCGUUCGGGUGACGGCUGUAAAACGUUUCUGUGGGUCGUCAAGGGUUAAUUUGUGUCUCUGCUGGGCUGCGUGAUCAUUCGAGAGUGCAUUUUCAGCAACCAAUCACGGGCGCGGAUUCUACUCCGCGUUCGACCAAUAGGAGCGAUGGGUGGCUCUAUCGAAUUUGAAUGAGGAGUGUAUCUUUCGGCGCCAUUUUCGAGUGAGCAGCGAUCGCCUCAGCAGCUGCGGAGAGAGGAUGCUGCGAAUAUGUAAAGCUGUCGCCGAGACGGGGAGGGGGAAGAGUCCGAGCGCUCAAAAUUAAACUGUGCUUUCAGGAGAGGGGGAAAUCACGUUAUUUCUAAGGAGACAGAUGGAGAGAGUGCAGUCAUGGAGUAGACGGGAGACAAGAUGCCGACGGACAUCUGAAAGUCUUUCUGCUGGAUCAUACACGACAAAGCUAAUACGAAGAGGGUACAAAUAACAAAGAAGAAGAGAAAAGCUGGACACGGAGUAACCAUGACUGCAGUUCUAGUGAUGCUGUAGCAGCACGGAAUGGUUUGUGGGUUACACAGAGAUGCAGGCCAUACUGUGCUGCAGCAGCAAAACCAGAAUAUUACACCUAACCCUCCAGUCUGUCACCAUUCCUGAUUGAUAUCAGCUUGUUUACUAUCAAACUUGCACACGCAGCACUCGUCAACCACAUUGGCACCACAUCGAAAGAUGUUUUUCCUGAUAAUAAAAGUUAUUCACAUCUGCUGGUGGUUUUACUGUAGCAGCACGUAAAUAUUGGAGUUAAGACUCUAGCUGAAGCCUCCAGUAUUGAUCGUGCUGCUGAAGCAAAGCUUGACCACUCUCAGUCGGUGCACGUCACACGAAUUGUUCCGAGGUACAUUGUUUACUCAGAUUUGCACUUUAAUAUGUUCCUCUUUCUUUUUCUCUCUCUCCUUUUUAUUUGUUUUUUUAAAACAAUACCAGUUUUUCACUUCGUACUGUUCUGUGUAUUUGCUAAAUAAAUAAAUUGGGUUUUGUCUAAUUUGA